AGAAACUAUAACUUAAAAUUGAAGGGAAACAUAAUGAGAUUGAGCUGUCAUUAUGUUUCACUUGAACAGAGAAGAAAAAGAAAACAGAAUGAGCCAAGCUAAACACAUUUAUAAAUGGCAAAGUUGUGUAAGCAAGGGUCCUUAACAAAACUUCUAAAAUAAUAUCCCAACAAAACUUAAACUUAACUUAGUAUAAAGAUGACAGUAGCUGAAUACUCAAAAUCCAAACACAACAAGGAAAACAGUAACACAAAACUAAUAUCUUAGGCCUUGUCAGCUUUGGCAGCAGUAGCAGCAGCUUGCCCACGAAGACGACCAGUCCUCCUU
Molecule: unclassified non-coding RNA, 327 nt
Filed under: Hevea brasiliensis (rubber tree)
Lineage: Eukaryota; Viridiplantae; Streptophyta; Magnoliopsida; Malpighiales; Euphorbiaceae
Source: RNAcentral